This 506-nucleotide ribosomal RNA is filed under the name uncultured bacterium. Its description in RNAcentral is "partial 16S ribosomal RNA". It matches the Rfam family "Bacterial small subunit ribosomal RNA", at positions 29 to 523 of the family's 1533-position model. The record is from RNAcentral.
AGUGAACGCUGGCGGUAGGCCUAACACAUGCAAGUCGAACGGCAGCACAAGAGAGCUUGCUCUCUGGGUGGCGAGUGGCGGACGGGUGAGGAAUACAUCGGAAUCUACCUUUUCGUGGGGGAUAACGUAGGGAAACUUACGCUAAUACCGCAUACGACCUUCGGGUGAAAGCAGGGGACUGUCGGGCCUCGCGCGGAUAGAUGAGCCGAUGUCGGAUUAGCUAGUUGGCGGGGUAAAGGCCCACCAAGGCGACGAUCCGUAGCUGGUCUGAGAGGAUGAUCAGCCACACUGGAACUGAGACACGGUCCAGACUCCUACGGGAGGCAGCAGUGGGGAAUAUUGGACAAUGGGCGCAAGCCUGAUCCAGCCAUACCGCGUGGGUGAAGAAGGCCUUCGGGUUGUAAAGCCCUUUUGUUGGGAAAGAAAAGCAGCCAGUUAAUACCUGGUUGUUCUGACGGUACCCAAAGAAUAAGCACCGGCUAACUUCGUGCCAGCCGCCGCGGUAA